RNAcentral lists this ribosomal RNA (434 nucleotides) under uncultured Lachnospiraceae bacterium. Its description in RNAcentral is "partial 16S ribosomal RNA". It matches the Rfam family "Bacterial small subunit ribosomal RNA", at positions 341 to 792 of the family's 1533-position model. The record is from RNAcentral. Lineage: Bacteria; Bacillati; Bacillota; Clostridia; Lachnospirales; Lachnospiraceae.
ACGGGAGGCAGCAGUGGGGAAUAUUGCACAAUGGGGGAAACCCCGAUGCAGCGACGCCGCGUGAGUGAAGAAGUAUUUCGGUAUGUAAAGCUCUAUCAGCAAGGAAGAAAAUGACGGUACUUGACUAAGAAGCCCCGGCUAACUACGUGCCAGCAGCCGCGGUAAUACGUAGGGGGCAAGCGUUAUCCGGAUUUACUGGGUGUAAAGGGAGCGUAGACGGUGAGGCAAGUCUGAAGUGAAAUGCAUGGGCUCAACCCAUGAACUGCUUUGGAAACUGUCUGACUAGAGUGCAGGAGAGGUAAGUGGAAUUCCUAGUGUAGCGGUGAAAUGCGUAGAUAUUAGGAGGAACACCAGUGGCGAAGGCGGCUUACUGGACUGUAACUGACGUUGAGGCUCGAAAGCGUGGGGAGCAAACAGGAUUAGAUACCCUGGUA